This is a long non-coding RNA of Clupea harengus (Atlantic herring), 362 nucleotides long. RefSeq lists it as uncharacterized. The record is from RefSeq and is a predicted model, not a curated record. The transcript has 3 exons. Lineage: Eukaryota; Metazoa; Chordata; Actinopteri; Clupeiformes; Clupeidae.
GACACGCCUGCGGAAAAUUACUGAGCAUAGCAGCGGGGAUGAGGGAGGUUCUGUCGUUGAUCUGAUGUCUGGAUAUAGUUUCUCAGGAAUGAAUUGAGCCGGAGAGAGAGAGAUUUAAUGGGCCUGCUCUCCAUUGAGAAGUCCAAGCUCUUCCUUGAUCCUGUGACGCACCUGAAUAAUGAUGACGCGACGGCUGUCUGUGCAGUCUAGACUAACCCCCCAGGCCGUCCAUCCAUUAUUAUACCCGGCCGACUCCAAGCAGAUGGGUUCACCCUUAUGUGCUUAAGGUUUCUUCCUGAUUAACAGGGAGUUUUUCCUUGCUCCUGUUGCCAUUGCGCUCUAAGGGGGUUCAGGCCCUGGGC